This is a long non-coding RNA of Sapajus apella (tufted capuchin), 4987 nucleotides long. RefSeq lists it as uncharacterized. The record is from RefSeq and is a predicted model, not a curated record. Lineage: Eukaryota; Metazoa; Chordata; Mammalia; Primates; Cebidae. The transcript is spliced from 3 exons.
CUCAAGUAAUCCACCCACUUUGGCCUCCCAAAGUGCUGGGAUUAUAGGCAUGAGCCAUCACGCCUGGCCCCUCUGUCAAUCUUGAGUCUCCAUGCAUAUAUUCUGAGGUUACACUCAUAGACACUUUCAGGGGCCAGGAAGCUGACAAGCUAGGGAGUAAACACCCUAUGAGAAAGUCACAGCCAGCCCUCAGGGAGGGCUUGACAUGAUGCCCGAAGACUCCAGCUGGUAAGUGGUGCUGAAACGUGGGACCUUGACCCUGGCUUUUUCCCUGUGUGCCAAAAGAGCUGCUGUUUUACUGCUUCAUGUGGCAGGGAUAUGGGGCAGACAUCCUUGUCACCGGGGUGAGCCUGGCUGUAGCCCUGACCCUAAGUCCCAUGGCUGGGGAGUACCUGCUCUGUGGGCAACACCUCGGCCCUCCUUGCAUGGCUGAAGGCUGAGACCUGGGAGUGUGUUAGGAAGUCCAUUGUGACCAUGCACCCAUAUUGUUUUCCACUACAGCUGCAUCUGCACAGCCUUAAUGUUUUGCCCAGAUGCCGAUUAAUGAGCCUGAGCACCCACAGUUCAGUGCUAAAAACAUAGGUGCUCCCAGAGGCACUCUACCCCCAGGAGACCUGCCCUCAGGAGCUGCCUUGAACAGAGGCACAGGGAGAUUGUGCUCUCCUUCUUGCAGGCCAUCCAUAGCCCAUGACAGUCAGAAAUAAACGUGUGAUGCUCACUCUUCCCCCCACAACCCAGAGUAACCUGGGACUGUGCACCCUCCCCGAAUUUCCAGUGCACUCAGGUUGAGGCUAGGAUUCAGCUAUGACCAGUCCUUGGCCUGACUCUUCUUUUGCUAUAAACUGCACCUCUCACUGGCUUCUCCUAAGAGCACCUCCCUAAUAAGUCAUUAGCCCCAGAAUCCCAUCUUAAGCUGUGCUUCUGGGAAACUGGCCUAAGGCAAAGAGAGGAGCUUAAGAUUACAAUUUUCUCUGACUUCUGUAUUUCCUAGCCCAGGACUUGUACUCAAAUCUGCUCAAAAACUGAGUCUUCAUGUGACUAGCUGACCUGUGACUACUGACCAGUGAUGUCAUGGAGAGAGAGGGAGUCCCAUCUCCUGGCUGAACUUGACCCUGUCUGGGCAGGCUAUGAAUGGACAUAACUAAAGGCUGAACACUCACUGGAGCAGGGCAUGGGAUGUGGGAAAUUCACAUCCCCUCUGGUUCUCAUUUUCAAGCGCACGCAAGUGGGGAAAAGGAAGCCACUGGUUUUCAGACUGAAAUGCAUGGGCGUUUAGUGGUUCCUGAGAACCGCUACAGGUAAAGGCAACCCAGCUGCGUGCACGUGUCUGACCCCAGAACUGCCUCGUCUCUGACUGUGGGCUUUGAGGAGAUGGGUUAAGGGCAAACCUCAGGGAAUCCCACCUGGCACGGAGUAGAGAAAGCAUCUGGAGCUUGUUAUACAGGAGUUGGCACGAGCUGGGCAUCUCUCCAAGCUCAGGAGGUUUCAUGGAAAUUCCUAGAUGAGAGAUGUUUACAAGUUGUGUCCCCAGAUAAACCACCAUGUUUCCCCCCAAGAGGUCCCUCAAGGUCUCCAUCGAAGCCAGCGUGCUGGGUCAUAACAGCUGUAAGCAGAGAUGCUUCUGACCUCACUGAUGAGAAGAACGCUGACUGCCUAGCUUGUGUCAUUAAGUGACUUUUAAUGACGAUAAACGUGUCUUCCUGCAUUCUCCUUCAGCCUUCUCUACAAAAUCGUUUUCCUACAGAUUCAACGGACUGGUAACGCACUUUUACUAUCCACAGUUGAUUUAAUAAUCUUCUUUUUUGUGUGUGGUAGCUUGCUGAAGUCAAAGAGGCUCUGACCAACAGGAAAUACUUGAUCACUCCUCUAAGAAAAUGUCAGAGAAAGAGGAAAUACCCGCACAGACAUGGGUCAUUUAAAAAAAAAAAAUGCACCUUUGCCAUUUUGUUGACAAAAAGCAGAUCACCUUGGCAAAGGACAUUCUAGAAUCUCUCCAGGAGAAUGGAGUGCUUUUUUUUUUUUUUUUCGUUUUAUAUAUAGACGUGUUUUGGGUUUUUUUUUUUUUCUUUUUGGCUAUUUCAAUUUGCAUAUUUGAAAACAACUGAAAAAGCAAUUAAUUCAAAUCUAAAUAACUUCCAUGCUCAGAAUUAUGUUUAUGGUCUUUCAGCAGACAAAUUUAUGGGGACGUCUGGGGACCAGGCCUCUGACACAGAAUAAGCAUCAAUCUCUCCUGGAGACUGGUCGCGGGUUUAUUUCUGAAACUUGUGUGGAAUGAGGGAGCAAAUCUAGAGUGUUUAAGAUCUAAUAAUAAUCACACACUUUAACACAUUCAAAUUAUGAUAUUUCAGGAGGCAGCAACCUUGGCUUUGCUUAUAGCUCUAAGCAGGGCUAUUCCCAGAGGAGGACUGUCCUUCUGAGGAAAGAAGACAUGGAGCUGGUUACAAUCCCAGGGAGGAUGUCUGCACAGAGAGGUAUUUUUCGUUUUUUUUUUUUUUCCCCUCAAUACAAUUUACACAGAAGGGGCUUGCUGCCAAUGUGAUAAUUGAGAAACACCUGGUGAAAAUCUCUCUCUAUUAAUUGACAAUGGCUUUCUCCUCCCCAGUUCUCAUCCCUCAGAAAGAAAAAAAGGCAAAAAAAAAAAAAAAAUGGAGGAAAAAAACGAGCAACCAAGAGAGUUUGAGACAUAUAAUCUCCAAGGCCAAAAGGAAAGACAUAUAAUUUUCAAGGCCAAAGGAAAUAAGGCAGGAAUUUGAUGGGUGAUUAAUGGCCAUGCUGGAGCAGUGGGAGUGGUGCUGAUGUCAGAGCCUCCAACAAUGAUUCCUCUUUGGAAAGAGGAAAAGGCAAGUGGAUCCCAAAAUAGCCAUUUUUUAAAAUCAAUUUUCUGAAACCUGUGAUAUUCUUCCUGGGUAAACUUGAAGCUCCAGAAAAGAGGUGGUCCCUCCUGGAAGAAGCAGUGAAUGGGCUUUCCUAGUCUCAAAUUCCACUGGACUCACCCACCUACCAGUCCCAAAGGAUUGGCUGCAUCCCAGAACCUCCCUGGACCCUUUGUUUUCACAGCAGCUCCUAGGAAAACACAUCACCCAGAGAGCUUCAUCACUGACGAUCUGAACGCGUUGUGCACAGAGAUUUGACCAGCGGGAAGCUGGUCAAAUGCAUAACUGAAAUUCGAUGUGUUUUUUCUGUUCUAAUUGCGGUAAAGGAUGUACUUUUGCAGUCGGUCUGGAUCACUCCUGAGAAAGAGAAAUAAAUCCUGUGUGAAUUUCAUUUCUCAAAAGAAGGUAUGCAGAGUGCUAGGUUUGUGAACUCUCUUCGUAUAUCGCUCCAAUAGUAGCUUUAUGUCAUAUAUAUAGUUGGUAGUCAAAAAUUAUUUAGAAGAUGAAAGCAAUGAAUAAAAGAUAAUUGAUUAUCUCCUUAAAAAUCUGUUGGUUCCUUAUAUAAUUCUGGUUAAAAUCCUAGAGCUGAGAUUAUUAAACUAUAUGAUCUGGGAAAUUCACAUCACCUCUGGCUCUAACUUUCAAGUGCACACACAAGUUGGGAAAACUAAGCCACUGGUUUUCAGACUGAGACGUAUGAAAGUUGAGUGGUUCCUGAGAAAUGCUUCAGCUGAAGAAGGGUUCAAGGGCAUAGAACUUCCCCUAGACUAUACCUGCUUCUCUUACUUAACUGGAACAAUUAUUCACAUCUUACUUUUAAUCAUUGGGUGUAAUUUAUAUACAAUGAAAUUCACCAAUUCCACGUAUAUCAGUUUGAUAAAUUUUGACAAAUGCACAUGGUUUGUAACUCCCACCACCAAGAUGUAGACUACUUCCAUGAUGCCAAAAAGUUUCUUCAGGCUCCUUUGUAGUCAUUCCUCUUUUCCUACCAUGAUCACAAAAACAAUUGCUUUCAUUAGUUUUUAUUUCUUCUGGAAUUUUACAUCAACAGAAUUAUAUAAUAUGAAGAAGUUUUAUUUGUCUGAUUUAUUUCAUUCCACAUAAUACUUCUGAGAUUCAUCCAUAUUAUGGGGAGUAGUAAUUUCUUUUUUAUUGAUAAGUAAUAUCCUCUUGGAUGACUAUACUACAAUUUGUUCACCCAUUUUCUAGUGGAUAGACAUAUGAGUUGUUUCCAGUUUGGGGCUCUUAGGAAUAAUGCUACUCUGAACAUCCAUGAAACAAGUCUUUGUGUGAAAGUAUAUUUUCAUUUCUCUUAGGAAAAUAUCUAAAAGAGAUUUUUCCAUUAUAUGGUCAUUAUGUGUUUAGCUUUAUAAAGAAGUUCCAAACUGUUUUUUCAGAGUGAAUGUACCAUUUUGUAUUGUCAACAUCAGUGUGCGAAGGUUCUAGUAACUCCACAUACUGGUCAACUUUUGAUAUUUUCAGGCUUUUAAAUUUUAGUCAUGCAUGUAGUGGUAUCUCGUUGUGGUUUUAAAUUGCGUUUCUCUAAUGACUAAUAAAGUUGGGUGUAGUUUUACGUCUUUAUUUGCCAUUUUGUGCCAAGUCACGAAAGUCCUUUAUAAGAUUAUGGCUGGAAAAGGACAAGAAAGAAGCCUCAUUGACAAUUACUACUUAUCUAACAAGCACCAAAAGAAGCAACAGCACUCUACCACUGGAGAACAGGCAAAAGCAUGGCAAAAGGGGAGACAUUGUUCACUGGAUGUUGGAGAAGAGAUGAAAAACAUAAAGGAGAAGGCAGUUUAGCAAUGGGAUGGAGACAAAAAAGAAUCCUUUAAUCACAAGAAAUUCAAGGGAUCUUCAUCCUCCUCUCCCCUUCAGAAAGGAGCGAGGCCUGUCUGAUAAGGAACAGAAAGAGUUGGACUCUCACUGGAAUGGAUGCAGAAUCUUGGCCUCUGCAAUCCCACCGCCAGAACCACUGAAGGAAACCCUGCCUGAGAGUGAAGGCAGCACAAAAGCAGCGGAAUUGAGAAAGGAAGAGAGGCUUUGUUUAUGAAUCUGCCCAAAGGGAUCCCUUGAACUUUCCAGUCAAAUAAACCAAUAGAUUCUGUUUUCUUUUA